This 556-nucleotide ribosomal RNA is filed under the name uncultured bacterium. Its description in RNAcentral is "partial 16S ribosomal RNA". It matches the Rfam family "Bacterial small subunit ribosomal RNA", at positions 355 to 900 of the family's 1533-position model. The record is from RNAcentral.
UAGGGAAUCUUCCACAAUGGACGCAAGUCUGAUGGAGCAACGGCCGCGUGAGUGAAGAAGGUUUUCGGACCGUAAAGCUCUGUUGUUGGUGAAGAAGGAUAGAGGUAGUAACUGGCCUUUAUUUGACGGUAAUCAACCAGAAAGUCACGGCUAACUACGUGCCAGCAGCCGCGGUAAUACGUAGGUGGCAAGCGUUGUCCGGAUUUAUUGGGCGUAAAGCGAGCGCAGGCGGAAGAAUAAGUCUGAUGUGAAAGCCCUCGGCUUAACCGAGGAAUUGCAUCGGAAACUGUUUUUCUUGAGUGCAGAAGAGGAGAGUAGAACUCCAUGUGUAGCGGUGGAAUGCGUAGAUAUGUGGAAGAAUACCAGUGGCGAAGGCGGCUCUCUGGUCUGCAACUGACGCUGAGGCUCGAAAGCAUGGGUAGCGAACAGGAUUAGAUACCCUGGUAGUCCAUGCCGUAAACGAUGAGUGCUAAGUGUUGGGAGGCUUCCGCCUCUCAGUGCUGCAGCUAACGCAUUAAGCACUCCGCCUGGGGGAGUACGACCGCAAGGUUGAAAC